This 1090-nucleotide long non-coding RNA is filed under the name Equus caballus (horse). RNAcentral's name for it is "lncRNA (ENSECAG00000038414.3)". The record is from RNAcentral. Lineage: Eukaryota; Metazoa; Chordata; Mammalia; Perissodactyla; Equidae.
AAAGGCUUUUGGAAGUAAGUGCUUUUUGAAGAUGUUUACAUCAGCGGUGAAUCGGGAGUGAGGAAUUGAAAUGUGGAGUGAAAACAUUAAAUUUAGGAAGCUCUGUUCUGUACUGGAGUAGAAUGGGGUUCAGGCGUGGGCAUUACAGGAGGGAGAGCACGGAGCUGCACAGAGCUGGCUGGGUGAUCUUGGGGAGCCAGCGUGUUUGCUCGAACAUGUGACCUCUUCUUGCCUGCACAAUAAAGGAAUUGGCUUACAUGAUUAUGGAGGCUGACAAGUCUCAAGAUCUGCAGACCUAGGCGGGGCCAAUAGGUUAGUUCCAGUCCAAAGGCUGGCAGGCUCAAGACCCAGGAAGAUCUUAUGUUUCAUUUUGAGUUCAAAGGCUGGAAAAAAUCGAUGUCCCAGCUUGAAGGCCAUCAGGCAGGAGGAGUUCCUUCUUACUGAUAGGAAGUUUACAGAGACAAAGGGAUCUGAAAUCAACCAGAAUAAAAUGACCACGGAGUAGACGUGUUACAAAGAAAAAGAGAGGAAAAUCGGCAACAAUAGUGACAACAAGAACAAAAUAACAAGAAAACUCCCACAAAGACAGAAGGAAGACAAUGCAGCUAGUGAGCAAAUUAGGAAUUUGAAAGCAUCUUCUGAGAGCUUGAAUGAUGAAUGUACUGAGGUUCCUAAGGGUGAGGUGAGAAGACCCAUCCAGCAUCACAAGACCCAUUCAAGGUGAUGUGGCUAGUUUGUGCUGAAGGCAGAAGUUUCCAGAAUUCCUGACCCUCAUGCUAUGGAACAGUCCUUGUGAGAAUAUCAGAGAUGAAUGAACAAGCAGGUGGAAGUUCGGAGGAAGACACGAUUAUAGACAAAAUGAAGGCACUACAUUUUCUCUGAUAAAAAAGUCUCUCAACAUUUUUAUAUCCUGUUGGUUUUCUAGGAAACGUAGACAUGCUCUGUAGGAAAUAAUCUCAAAAUGGACGUGAUGGAUUAAAGAUGGGGAAACAUGCCCUGGAAUGCCUAAUGGCAACAUUAGUCUACGUCUACAGAUUAAUGUGGCUGCUGAAUAUAGUUUUUUUUUUUUUUUUAAAAGCACUUGGAUUCA